Molecule: ribosomal RNA, 411 nt
Filed under: Verrucomicrobiota bacterium
Lineage: Bacteria; Pseudomonadati; Verrucomicrobiota
Description: Verrucomicrobia bacterium partial 16S ribosomal RNA
Rfam family: Bacterial small subunit ribosomal RNA
Source: RNAcentral
UGGGGAAUAUUGCACAAUGGGCGAAAGCCUGAUGCAGCGACGCCGCGUGAGGGAUGGAGGCCUUCGGGUUGUAAACUCCUUUCAGUACAGAAGAAGCUUUAUUGUGACGGUAUGUGCAGAAGAAGCGCCGGCUAACUACGUGCCAGCAGCCGCGGUAAUACGUAGGGCGCGAGCGUUGUCCGGAAUUAUUGGGCGUAAAGAGCUCGUAGGCGGUUUGUCGCGUCUGCUGUGAAAGACCGGGGCUUAACUCCGGGGCUGCAGUGGGUACGGGCAGGCUGGAGUGCGGUAGGGGUAACCGGAAUUCCUGGUGUAGCGGUGGAAUGCGCAGAUAUCAGGAGGAACACCGAUGGCGAAGGCAGGUUACUGGGCCGUUACUGACGCUGAGGAGCGAAAGCAUGGGGAGCGAACAGG